This 486-nucleotide ribosomal RNA is filed under the name uncultured bacterium. Its description in RNAcentral is "partial 16S ribosomal RNA". It matches the Rfam family "Bacterial small subunit ribosomal RNA", at positions 30 to 507 of the family's 1533-position model. The record is from RNAcentral.
AUUGAACGCUGGCGGCAUGCCUUACACAUGCAAGUCGAACGGCAGCACGGGUGCUUGCACCUGGUGGCGUGUGGCGAACGGGUGAGUAAUACAUCGGAACAUGUCCUGUAGUGGGGGAUAGCCCGGCGAAAGCCGGAUUAAUACCGCAUACGAUCCACGGAUGAAAGCGGGGGACCUUCGGGCCUCGCGCUAUAGGGUUGGCCGAUGGCUGAUUAGCUAGUUGGUGGGGUAAAGGCCUACCAAGGCGACGAUCAGUAGCUGGUCUGAGAGGACGACCAGCCACACUGGGACUGAGACACGGCCCAGACUCCUACGGGAGGCAGCAGUGGGGAAUUUUGGACAAUGGGCGAAAGCCUGAUCCAGCAAUGCCGCGUGUGUGAAGAAGGCCUUCGGGUUGUAAAGCACUUUUGUCCGGAAAGAAAUCCUUGGCUCUAAUACAGUCGGGGGAUGACGGUACCGGAAGAAUAAGCACCGGCUAACUACGUG